Gallus gallus (chicken) is the source of this 1823-nucleotide long non-coding RNA. Lineage: Eukaryota; Metazoa; Chordata; Aves; Galliformes; Phasianidae. The record is from Ensembl.
CUCAAGGACAGAAAGAACACCGUGUGCAAAUUUGUCAGCUCCUACUGAACAUGGGAAAAUUUACCCCUGCCUUCCACAGCCUUCUUGGUAACCUUUCAAUUACUAUGACAAUUGUAAACAAACAACUUGAAACAAAUGGUCAAAUCAACAAGACCAGGUUCAUGACCUCUACAGAACUGCAGCAGCUCCCUCUGUUCUGAAAACCACAUGGGGGAAGAUGUUUAAGCUAACUUCAGUGAGAAUGUUCUCUGCUCUUGAGAAAGUCUGUUCUGGAGAAGAUUCAUAUUGGCUUUCAAGACAUUUACAGUGAGUUUUUGGCUGAAAUGACUAAUGUUGAAGUCACGUAAGGAAUGAAUUGUGGAAAGCCUUAUGUUGCUGAUACCUCUGCAAACAUAGUUUUCACAGGUAUGGAGUUACAACACAACCUCAUCGGACUGGAGUGGAAGGAGAAUACGAUGCAUAUCUGCAGGAAGAUGGCAUAAAAGUUUUAAAUUUCCACAACAAUCAGCUCUUAAAAACUUCCUGAAAACUUUGAAGGAAUAUCAGUAUACUGUAGCGCCCUCCUACAAUUCAUGCGGCAGUCCUUCCUGGAUGGAAACAAUUCCUUACUUCCAGGAACUAUGAUUCUGCUUGAACAAAAUUGCUUUUAGUGAAUGAUAGAUGUGAAUCUCCAACUCCUCCUUCAAGCACCUGACAGACAGAACUGCAUAUCAAACCAAGUUAAGCUGAUGAUUUAAACAUUUUGCCUAUCUGGAACUUUAAUUAUCUCAUCAUCUCCUUAUGUUUCAUUAUUAUGAAGCUGCAAGAAAUGACAACAACUAGAGAAGAGUGGCUAUAUAAACCAAAUACAACUUCAAGAACCAAAUUUAAAUGGAUGUAUUAUAUAUCCUAACACUGAAACAAAGCCAGACUAUUUUUUUAUGGCACUGAUUAUAAAUUAAAGUAGACUGAAAAUUUCAGGAGUCAGAUAACCUUUUUCCAUAUGCUUAAGUAAGGGUGUUUACUCCAAAACCAAAGUUUGUAUCCAAAAUUUAAAUGAUGCCACUGGCAUUCAGUAUGAAUUGAGCUGGAGUAGGUUUCAACACAGAAGGAGGAUUUGAAAAGCAGUCAUUUUAUUUUCCUUUCUCUUUUCUUCAUUCUUUAUGAAUUCAGCCAAGAUGUAUUGUAUGUAUCUUUUUCAGUGGCACCCUUUGUUUUGUGGAAAACAGUGAUUUUAGAAAUAUACAAAAAAUAAAUACGUUUAAAAGUUCAGAAAGACAGUUAGUGAUGAUAUUUCUGGCAUGGAGGGAGAAACAAUAUUUUUGUAUCAGACUGCAGUGAAUUAGAGUAAUUAACAUUUUGAGUAAUCUGAUUAUCUUUAUAACUGUACUGAUUCUCAUUAAGAAACAAAAACUAUUCCUGCUUCAAUAUUCUCUACUUCUUGUAUGCUAAGUGAAAAUAAUUUCAUGGGGAGAGACACAGUUCACAUUAAUAUAAAUGUCAGAAACGGUUUAAGUGUUCUGUGCCCUUAAAAUCCUGCAGAAAGUCUUUAGAAGGUUAAAAACAAACAAACCAACCAAAAACCCCUACUGCUACCUAAAUUGUAUGAUAUGGUGAUUUAGUCCUGAUGUACCAAACUCUGCAAAAGUUAUAUAAGAAAACUCACAGUGAAUUUCCAGAAGAUGCCCAAGCAACAAAUAUCCUUCCCCAAGAAUGCAAAAUUGGACCCUUGAGUUUUAAAAAAUCUCUUUGCUUUAGGUUUCUAACAAGAGUAUUCAAAGAGUCAAUGACGGCAUUAAUUUCAUUUUCCAUCCUGAGUUCAGAUUUUAGAUGCUUUUAUGUCU